AGCACGAAGGCUCAUACUAAGCUCUUGAUAAUCCUGCUGCAGUUGUAGCCAGCAUGUGUCAGUGCCACAUACCUUUGUCCCCUGUCUUAGCACACUCAGCCAGGAACUGGCAGAUCUGGGUCGGAUGGCAUCUUAGAGCAAAAGCGCGUGCUAUUACAGCUUCUAAACCCAGCACUUAGAGUAAAUCUGAAAACCCAAAAUUACCCUGAAAAUUACCAGGAGCUGGGUCCACAGAAGUCCAUCUGGCAUCUCGUGUCCUUUGCCUUUUGGUUGUGGAGCUCAGGCCUUGUCCUCAGGAGAGGGCCAGCUUCCUCACACUGCUUCCUGUGUUCCUUCUUAGGAAGUAGAGUACUGCAGACUGCAGUGCUUAAGGCCCCCAAAUGGCAAGACUGGCCACUUGCUGCCAUUCCUGUCUCUUGUGACAAUGUGACAAACCAGUAUCCUGUAGCUAGUUCCAGAUUGGUCUACCCAGCCACUGUGCCACCGUAUAAUGGCCAGAGUCUCAAAGACAGGAAGGAGUAGCUCCUGGCCCUGCCCUGGUGUGGUAUGGCUCUGCUUUGUGAAGCCUCAGACUCUCUCGUUUCUGUUACAGGAGCUCUGGAAGAUUGUGGUCGAGCCAGCAGCAUGAGUCACCUCUGUGACCUCUUGACUAUUAUCUUAAUGUAUUUCAAAUAAAGACAAACCCUCAGCC
Molecule: long non-coding RNA, 691 nt
Filed under: Rattus norvegicus (Norway rat)
Lineage: Eukaryota; Metazoa; Chordata; Mammalia; Rodentia; Muridae
Description: long non-coding RNA NONRATT005196
Source: RNAcentral